RNAcentral lists this ribosomal RNA (502 nucleotides) under Cutibacterium acnes. RNAcentral describes it as "bacterial SSU rRNA". It matches the Rfam family "Bacterial small subunit ribosomal RNA", at positions 68 to 580 of the family's 1533-position model. Lineage: Bacteria; Bacillati; Actinomycetota; Actinomycetes; Propionibacteriales; Propionibacteriaceae. The record is from RNAcentral.
GGAAGGCCCUGCUUUUGUGGGGUGCUCGAGUGGCGAACGGGUGAGUAACACGUGAGUAACCUGCCCUUGACUUUGGGAUAACUUCAGGAAACUGGGGCUAAUACCGGAUAGGAGCUCCUGCUGCAUGGUGGGGGUUGGAAAGUUUCGGCGGUUGGGGAUGGACUCGCGGCUUAUCAGCUUGUUGGUGGGGUAGUGGCUUACCAAGGCUUUGACGGGUAGCCGGCCUGAGAGGGUGACCGGCCACAUUGGGACUGAGAUACGGCCCAGACUCCUACGGGAGGCAGCAGUGGGGAAUAUUGCACAAUGGGCGGAAGCCUGAUGCAGCAACGCCGCGUGCGGGAUGACGGCCUUCGGGUUGUAAACCGCUUUCGCCUGUGACGAAGCGUGAGUGACGGUAAUGGGUAAAGAAGCACCGGCUAACUACGUGCCAGCAGCCGCGGUGAUACGUAGGGUGCGAGCGUUGUCCGGGAUUUAUUGGGGCGUAAAGGGCUCGUAGGUGGUU